CUACAUCCCAUGAUAUUCCUUCUCUGUGCCUCAGAGUUUCUGGAAACUCUCUUCACAGUAAGAAGAACUAAAUGGACAUGUCCUGGGAGCUAAGGAGAGUAAACCCACUGGAAGCUGCCCCGCGUGAGCAGGAGCUCCCGUGCUGGGUGCUGCAGGACUGUUCAGCUCUGCUUUGGAAAUGAUAGACGAGAGAAGCUACACCCUGGGACAGGGCUGCUCUCUGUGGCCUGAGCCACUUCACAUUUUCCUUUUUUUCCCUUCUUCCCCACCCACCUUUCAUCGUCCUCAAAAACCCAUGUGUGUGAAGAACAACAGAGGAAUGUGGAUUUGAGAGGAGAAAACAAGACAGCUCAUCAUCUUGUUUGUGACCAACACAUUGAGGAAUAUGUGGCCAAAAAUUGGCAACUGGCUGUUUUCUUUUGGGAGACUUCAUCCUCUCAAGCAUCAUCACUUGAAGUCAUGAAAACCAUUCCCAUGCAUGCUUAUAUCUGCUGAUACAGCGAUGUAUAUGUGACCGGGAAACAGAAAGGAGAGAGACAGAAAGCAAAUUACACUUCUAGAUAGUUGAGUCACAUUGCAAAACACCUUUUUUAUUGGGGGUGAUAAUUUGACUUCAUUCCCUAAUAGAAGUAGAUUUAUGUGAUGGAUACCUGAUAUGCACUUUUCUGCCACUGUUCCUUCAGGACAGUGGUUAUAUUAUUUAGGAUUAGAUUGAACUGUGAGUAACAUUAGCCUGAAAUAGGAGCAGCUUAAAACCGAUAAAAGAUUUUCUUCAUUUGUGGAGAAUCCUUGGCUUCAGUGGCUCUAUUCAUGAAAUCCUUUUUGGCAUCCAAAGAUUUUACAGCUCAAGGUGGGGUUCUCAAUUUCAUAGUCCAAGCCAGUGAUUGUCAUGUCACCUUCAAAGUAAUCGCAUGAACUCUCCAAAAGUGUUCUGCUUUUUUCAUGAGCGCCCGACUUUUGGCCAUAGGCAUUAAGCACUUCAGUGAAGGUUUGCCAGAGAUAGGGAGCUGUGGAUUGAGAUGGCAUAGUUUCAAGUCUGAGCUGCACAGCCUCUAGAUCUUGUGGACUUGAGUGUGAUGUCUGUGAGUUUGUGCUUGUAUCAUUUGGAAAUCUGAAAUUAUAAAAGUGCCUCAGAGCAGAAUAAUGAUAAAAAAACAAUUGCCUGCCUAAAAGACUCAGCACACUGAUCAUCAUCAUAGCAGGGACCUGUUGUGCAGAGUUUUCACUUCCCUGCUGAGCAGCUUCUUUUCUUCAUGGGAAAUCAAGCUGUGUUUAGAAUCUGGAGGUUCUCUCCAGGGAGCAAGUCUUCAGUCCGUCCUCCAUGGUGCUAUGUGCUUCUCAUAAUUGAGUGUCCCAGUUAGAGGGAAACUAGUAUAAAGCAGCAACCCCACUGCAUGGUCCACCUCCAGUGAAGUGGGCUUUAUUCUAUAAUUGCAGUUUUUAUCUGUGAGGAAUAUGGUGGGUAUUGGUAAAUAUUCACUUCUUUUUCCUAUCAUAGGACAUUUUGUUGUGGUGGUGGUGGUUUUAGAAAAGAACUGUGAUCAGUAGGUUCUACAACCUACCAUUUUAGUUCAUUCCAACAAGUGCAUCUUAAUGAAAGAAUAAAAUAAAAAGUAAAAUGCGUUAGAAAUAAAUC
Molecule: long non-coding RNA, 1636 nt
Filed under: Mus spicilegus (steppe mouse)
Lineage: Eukaryota; Metazoa; Chordata; Mammalia; Rodentia; Muridae
Description: lncRNA (ENSMSIG00000022740.1)
Source: RNAcentral